Long non-coding RNA from Castor canadensis (American beaver), 357 nucleotides. RefSeq lists it as uncharacterized. NCBI's taxonomy places the organism in Eukaryota, Metazoa, Chordata, Mammalia, Rodentia, Castoridae. The record is from RefSeq and is a predicted model, not a curated record.
CUACAAUUUGGGAAGUACUCUAUGCAUGGGGACACAGCAGUGAACAAACAUUGCCCAGAUGGAGCUCAAAUUCUAGAAUAUAAGUAUCUUUCAAAAGCAUAACUAUGAAACUGAAGAAAAGAAGUGGAAGAAAAACCUAAAAUUCAGGUCCUUGCUGCUCAAAAUGGGAAGUCUGACAAGUUAACAAAGAUGGCACAUGUCCAGGGAUGUCAAUUUAAUUCAGUUGUGAUCUCUUCCUCCUGCAUACAUUCCCAUCAUGAUACCAUCCACCAUGAGGUGAUGAACCCAAGGUGUCCUUCCUAGAGCCAGUACCAUGCUUUUUGGACUUUUAGCUUUCACUAUGUGAACCAAAUAAAC